Molecule: ribosomal RNA, 254 nt
Filed under: uncultured bacterium
Lineage: Bacteria
Description: partial 16S ribosomal RNA
Rfam family: Bacterial small subunit ribosomal RNA
Source: RNAcentral
UACAUGGGGUGCAAACGUUUGCUCGGAAUUAUUGGGCGUAAAGCGCACGUAGGCGGUUCGUUAAGUCGGAUGUGAAAGCCCUCGGCUCAACUGAGGAAGUGCACCCGAAACUGGCGAGCUUGAGUACGAAAGAGGAUCGCGGAAUUCCCGGUGUAGAGGUGAAAUUCGUAGAUAUCGGGAGGAACACCGGUGGCGAAGGCGGCGAUCUGGGUCGAUACUGACGCUGAGGUGCGAAAGCGUGGGGAGCAAACAGG